Molecule: long non-coding RNA, 1038 nt
Filed under: Chrysemys picta bellii (western painted turtle)
Lineage: Eukaryota; Metazoa; Chordata; Testudines; Emydidae
Description: lncRNA (ENSCPBG00000007915.1)
Source: RNAcentral
UAAGAGGGAGGUGGCGCCCCACCUUGCCGAGCCUGGAAAUCUUCCUCGUACACAAGCCGGUUCAGUCGCUCCGAGGGCCGGGCCAGGCGGUAUGGGAGGCGCGGUGGGGCCAGAGGGGAGCCCCGGCUGGUGGCCCCCCGGGACCUAGCCAAGGGGCGAGCUAGCUCAGCAAAGGCCCCCGGACUGCAUGGGGGGGCUACAGGAGCAGCUGCCCCUUCGUACCCAAAGAAGGACCCAAGUAAAUCCCGCCCAGCCCCGGGUGAUCGCCUAGGAGCUGCCGGCUGCGCCCCUUCGCCCUGCCCGCGGCAGCCCCCCGGGUUUAAACUGGACCAGCCCCCUGGACGGCUUGGGGGCUCGGUGUGGGAGCCGCAAUGGGGUUGGCAGCGCCCUGGAGCUGCUGAAGGGGAAAGUGGCGUGUGCGCCCCGGGCCCCAGCCGCUGGAGAUGCAGUGGGGAAGCGUUUACAUGCCAGCGCCUGCUCCUUUCUCCCACGCCGCAUUGGCAUGUUGAUCCCACUGGAUCGGCACUCCAGGAGAUAAAGUGAAGACGCGGCCCGAGUGAUGGAGAAGCCAUUCCUUUCUUUCUGGCGUAGCGUCUUCCCACGUGACUGAGCGGCGGGGACACAGAACGCCGUCGGCAGCAUUUUCCAUCGCGAGCAUCCGGGUAUUGACCUGGCUUCCUUGAGGUUUAUCUUCCUCCCAUUUGUACUUUCUGAAAGUCUCCCUCCGGCGGCCAUGUUCCUCUAGCAUUGCGCAGAAGAUGGGGGCGGGGGUUGGUCCGGGAAGCAAGUCUGAGAUGCAGCGUGUCUCCCCGACACGUGUCUAGCGUGGGUGGCCAGUGGAUUCAGCUUGCGUCCAGUAAAAUGCUGCUUCUCUCUUGAUCUAGGACUGUCCGGGGCUGGCAUGGAAGGGACGGCUGCACCCCUGCAGUGCUGUGCGCAGCUUCGCCUCCGUCACCUGAGGGGUAGCGCCUCUUGCUCUGUAAGUGCAUUCUCUCCCGUUGUGGAGCCAAGUUCUGUUAACGUGGGGGGGGGGGGGGG